GGCUCAGGAUGAACGCUAGCUACAGGCUUAACACAUGCAAGUCGAACGAAGAUGCCGGAGUGCUUGCACUUUGGCAGACUGAGUGGCGGACGGGUGAGUAACGCGUGGGUAACCUGCCUUAUACAGGGGGAUAACAGUUGGAAACGACUGAUAAUACCGCAUAAGCGCACAGUACCGCAUGGUACAGUGUGAAAAACUCCGGUGGUGUGAGAUGGACCCGCGUCUGAUUAGCUUGUUGGCAGGGUAACGGCCUACCAAGGCAACGAUCAGUAGCCGACCUGAGAGGGUGACCGGCCACAUUGGGACUGAGACACGGCCCAGACUCCUACGGGAGGCAGCAGUGGGGAAUAUUGCACAAUGGAGGAAACUCUGAUGCAGCGACGCCGCGUGAGUGAAGAAGUAAUUCGUUAUGUAAAGCUCUAUCAGCAGGGAAGAUAGUGACGGUACCUGACUAAGAAGCUCCGGCUAAAUACGUG
Molecule: ribosomal RNA, 476 nt
Filed under: uncultured bacterium
Lineage: Bacteria
Description: bacterial SSU rRNA
Rfam family: Bacterial small subunit ribosomal RNA
Source: RNAcentral